This 254-nucleotide ribosomal RNA is filed under the name uncultured bacterium. Its description in RNAcentral is "partial 16S ribosomal RNA". It matches the Rfam family "Bacterial small subunit ribosomal RNA", at positions 524 to 777 of the family's 1533-position model. The record is from RNAcentral.
UACGUAGGGGGCAAGCGUUGUCCGGAUUUAUUGGGCGUAAAGAGCGUGUAGGCGGUUUGGUAGGUCCGUUGUGAAAACUCGAGGCUCAACCUCGAGACGCCGAUGGAAACCAUCAGACUAGAGUCCGGAAGAGGAGAGUGGAAUUCCUGGUGUAGCGGUGAAAUGCGCAGAUAUCAGGAAGAACACCCGUGGCUAAGGUGGCUCUCUAGUACGGUACUGACGCUGAGACGCGAAAGCGUGGGGAGCGAACAGGG